GGCAUUUUGCUCACAGAUGCUACUUUGUUAAUAAAAUAACCAAGAAAUUUCUCACAUGUACUGAUUGACACAUCUGUCGGAGCAGAGGAGCAUGGAUUUGUGACUUAGUUAAUAGUAUUAAAUAACACUCUUGGUUCAUGGCAACUGCUAGCUAUGACAGAAGAGAGAUGCUGUAUCUUUGCCACCUUCACAGCAUUCUGGUAUGUGGCUAGACUGUUCCUUAAUAUACCCAGUGACACGUGUAAAUUGUCUUUCUUCCAUCUUCGUUCAGCUUGUCUGCAGUGUUGCCUAAGGCCUCUUGUGGUGUCAUUUAGCCAGGGGUCCGCCUUAGGUUCAACAGCUUUAAUCCGAUAAGGGGCAAUAGAGUCUAAGAUGCCUGUGCAUGUGGAAUGGAACACAGAGAGAAUGUUAUCUGGGGAGGAGGGAGAGACCAGACCAUUCUUUACAUAAAACUGUGUGACCACAAACACAGAGGCAAACUG
This is a long non-coding RNA of Etheostoma cragini (Arkansas darter), 482 nucleotides long. RefSeq lists it as uncharacterized. The record is from RefSeq and is a predicted model, not a curated record. Lineage: Eukaryota; Metazoa; Chordata; Actinopteri; Perciformes; Percidae. The transcript has 3 exons.